UACGUAGGGGGCGAGCGUUACCCGGAUUCACUGGGCGUAAAGGGGGUGUAGGCGGCUUGGCAAGUCGGGUGUGAAAUCCCACGGCUCAACCGUGGAAUUGCGCCCGAAACUGCCAAGCUUGGGGCCGGUAGAGGGAGACGGAACUGCCGGUGUAGGGGUGAAAUCCGUAGAUAUCGGCAGGAACGCCGGUGGGGAAGCCGGUCUCCUGGGCCGCGCCCGACGCUGAGGCCCGAAAGCUAGGGGAGCAAACCGG
RNAcentral lists this ribosomal RNA (253 nucleotides) under uncultured microorganism. Its description in RNAcentral is "partial 16S ribosomal RNA". It matches the Rfam family "Bacterial small subunit ribosomal RNA", at positions 524 to 776 of the family's 1533-position model. The record is from RNAcentral.